UACGAAGGGGGCUAGCGUUGUUCGGAAUCACUGGGCGUAAAGCGCACGUAGGCGGAUUGUUAAGUCGGGGGUGAAAUCCUGAGGCUCAACCUCAGAACUGCCUUCGAUACUGGCAAUCUCGAGUCCGGAAGAGGUUGGUGGAACAGCUAGUGUAGAGGUGAAAUUCGUAGAUAUUAGCUAGAACACCAGUGGCGAAGGCGGCCAACUGGUCCGGUACGUGGC
RNAcentral lists this ribosomal RNA (222 nucleotides) under uncultured bacterium. RNAcentral describes it as "partial 16S ribosomal RNA". It matches the Rfam family "Bacterial small subunit ribosomal RNA", at positions 524 to 746 of the family's 1533-position model. The record is from RNAcentral.